GCAGUCGAGCGCACCCUUCGGGGCGAGCGGCGGACGGGUUAGUAACGCGUGGGAACAUACCCUUUUCUAUGGAAUAGCCUUUGGAAACGAAGAGUAAUACCAUAUACGCCCUUCGGGGGAAAGAUUUAUCGGAGAAGGAUUGGCCCGCGUAAGAUUAGAUAGUUGGUGGGGUAAUGGCCUACCAAGUCUACGAUCUUUAGCUGGUUUUAGAGGAUGAUCAGCAACACUGGGACUGAGACACGGCCCAGACUCCUACGGGAGGCAGCAGUGGGGAAUCUUAGACAAUGGGCGCAAGCCUGAUCUAGCCAUGCCGCGUGUGUGAUGAAGGCCUUAGGGUCGUAAAGCACUUUCGCCAGAGAUGAUAAUGACAGUAUCUGGUAAAGAAACCCCGGCUAACUCCGUGCCAGCAGCCGCGGUAAUACGGAGGGAGCUAGCGUUGUUCGGAAUUACUGGGCGUAAAGCGCGCGUAGGCGGCUUGGCAAGUAGAGGGUGAAAUCCCAGGGCUUAACCCUGGAACUGCCUCCUAAACUGCUGAGCUAGAAUCCUGGAGAGGUGAGCGGAAUUCCUAGUGUAGAGGUGAAAUUCGUAGAUAUUAGGAAGAACACCAGUGGCGAAGGCGGCUCACUG
This 627-nucleotide ribosomal RNA is filed under the name uncultured bacterium. RNAcentral's name for it is "bacterial SSU rRNA". It matches the Rfam family "Bacterial small subunit ribosomal RNA", at positions 57 to 731 of the family's 1533-position model. The record is from RNAcentral.